Molecule: ribosomal RNA, 253 nt
Filed under: uncultured prokaryote
Description: partial 16S ribosomal RNA
Rfam family: Bacterial small subunit ribosomal RNA
Source: RNAcentral
UACGGAGGGGGCUAGCGUUAUUCGGAAUUACUGGGCGUAAAGCGCACGUAGGCGGAUUGGAAAGUCAGAGGUGAAAUCCCAGAGCUCAACUUUGGAACUGCCUUUGAAACUCCCAGUCUUGAGGUCGAGAGAGGUGAGUGGAAUUCCGAGUGUAGAGGUGAAAUUCGUAGAUAUUCGCAAGAACACCAGUGGCGAAGGCGGCUCUCUGGGGACCACCUGACGCUGAGGCGCGAAAGCGUGGGGAGCGAACCGG